ACGCUGGCGGCACGCCUUAUACAUGCAAGUCGAACGAAGUAGCAAUACUUAGUGGCAGACGGGUGAGUAACAUGUAGGUAUCUUCCCUUUGGUGAGGAAUAACACGAGGAAACUUGUGCUAAUACCUCAUAAGUCUUCACGGAGAAAGCUUUAUGCGCCAAUGGAUGAGCCUGCACUUGAUUAGUUUGUUGGUGGGGUAAAAGCCUACCAAGACUUUGAUCAAUAGCUGAUCUGAGAGGAUGAUCAGCCACAUUGGGACUGAGACACGGCCCAAACUCCUACGGGAGGCAGCAGUAGGGAAUAUUGCACAAUGGAGGAAACUCUGAUGCAGCGAUGCCGCGUGAGUGAAGAAGGCCUUUGGGUUGUAAAGCUCUUUCGUCGGGGAAGAAAAUGACUGUACCCGAAUAAGAAGGUCCGGCUAACUUCGUGCCAGCAGCCGCGGUAAUACGAAGGGACCUAGCGUAGUUCGGAAUUACUGGGCUUAAAGAGUUCGUAGGUGGUUAAAAAAGUUGGUUGUGAAAUCCCGAAGCUUAACUUCGGAACUGCAAUCAAAACUUUUUAGCUAGAGUAUGAUAGAGGAAAGCAGAAUUUCUAGUGUAGAGGUGAAAUUCGUAGAUAUUAGAAAGAAUACCAAUUGCGAAGGCAGCUUUCUGGAUCAUUACUGACGCUGAGGAACGAAAGCAUGGGUAGCGAAGAGGAUUAGAUACCCUCGUAGUCCAUGCCGUAAACGAUGUGUGUUAGACGUUGGAAAUUUAUUUUCAGUGUCGCAGCGAAAGCAUUAAACACACCGCCUGGGGAGUACGACC
This 806-nucleotide ribosomal RNA is filed under the name uncultured Pelagibacteraceae bacterium. RNAcentral's name for it is "bacterial SSU rRNA". It matches the Rfam family "Bacterial small subunit ribosomal RNA", at positions 33 to 887 of the family's 1533-position model. The record is from RNAcentral. Lineage: Bacteria; Pseudomonadati; Pseudomonadota; Alphaproteobacteria; Candidatus Pelagibacterales; Candidatus Pelagibacteraceae.